This 477-nucleotide ribosomal RNA is filed under the name uncultured bacterium. RNAcentral describes it as "partial 16S ribosomal RNA". It matches the Rfam family "Bacterial small subunit ribosomal RNA", at positions 28 to 507 of the family's 1533-position model. The record is from RNAcentral.
GAUUAACGCUGGCGGCGUGCAUAACACAUGCAAGUCGAACGAUUAAACUUAGCAUACUUCUUCGGAAAGACACUAAGCGGAUUAUUGUCGAACGGGUGAGUAACGCGUGAGUAACCUGCCUUACACAAGGGGAUAGUCUUUGGACACGAAGAAUAAUACCCUAUAAAACCAUACAUGCACAUGCUAGCAUGGUCAAAGUGAUAGCGGUGUAAGAUGGACUUGUGUCUGAUUAGCUAGGUGGUGAGAUAAAAGCUCACUAAGGAAACGAUCAGAAGCCGGCUUGGGAGAGUGGACGGGAAUAUUGGGACUGAGACAAGGCGCAGACACCUAAGGGAGGGAGCAGUGGGGAAUUAGGCACAAUGGGGGAAACAAUGAUGCAGCGAGGCCGCGUGAUUUAGAAGGCCUUGGGGUUGUAAAAAACUUUUGUAUAGGAAGAAAAUGACAGUACUAAACGAAUAAGGACCGGCUAAUUACGUG